Molecule: long non-coding RNA, 1487 nt
Filed under: Astyanax mexicanus (Mexican tetra)
Lineage: Eukaryota; Metazoa; Chordata; Actinopteri; Characiformes; Acestrorhamphidae
Description: lncRNA (ENSAMXG00005014147.1)
Source: RNAcentral
CUUUUCCCUGCAUAAAAGUCAAAAGAGUCGAAGGAACCGAUUCAAAUGAACCGAUUCGUUCUUAUGCUGCAGCUGUUGUGAAAUCGCGCUUUGUCUCGCGGGGGGAGGAAGUGGAGGCUCCACGUGGCCUGUUGUUUACAUCCAGCAUGUCCCUGUGGAGGAGUCCGGUUUCACUCCUCACGCGCUGUUCACUCUUCUUAGAAAGAGUGAGCUCUGCUUCAGGAACAGCUCAACACUCAGACAGUGCUGACUCACAGGGGUAAGAGCAUGUGUGGGUUCUCUGUGUGUGGAACCUUUAGAAUGUGAGGUUCUACUGUUGUGUGGAUAUGUGAGGGAUAUGGUGUAGGUUAUUGUUAGUAAUUGUCAGUAACUGUGGUUAGAUGUGUGGAGAUCAGAUGAGAAGAAUGAGAAGAUAACUGGACUGAAGGUCCAGCUGAUGUCAAACUUCAAAACUAUACCUAUGUUUAGAUUCAGGAUCGCUACCUCAGAAGAAUGUUCCACACUGGGAGCCGGCUGGCCCACUUCUACUUCUCCUCAGGGUCUGGAGACUCCAGCAGCUCCAGAAACAGCACUGAUCCCGGAGGAUCUGGGGGUCCUGGUGGGUCUGUAGGUUCUGCUGGUUCUGGCAGUCUGGGCCUGGCUGGCAGUGGAACAGAGAAACGUCAAGAGAGAAUUCCCCAGAGUUUACCAGAGUUCAUCAAACAUCUCCAGAAGGUCGCAGGUCUGAGGAAAGAGGAUGUGUUCUAUAACCUGCGAGUCCCAAACCAGUUCCAGACAGCACGGGAGGAGAUCAACCUCGUCAUCCUCACAGGUGCGGGAGUGUACUGUAUUGAUGUAAAGACAUGGACAGGUGCUGUAUCACCUCAGGGCCAAAACACCUGGCACCUCCAAGUGAAAGAGGAGGAGCCAAACUUCACAAACACCUCCAUCCAGCAGGUCCCUGACCCCCUGCAGGCAAUUACGAGGAAGACGUGUGAUCUGUGCAGCUAUAUGAAGCAGUGUGGAGUGAAAAUCAGACAGUCCCUCUUCCUACCCAGAAUCCUCUUCCUCUCUCCUCACUGUACGCUGGAUGAUGAGCUGAGGAAGAGGAAUGAGCUGGUGCCCCACAGUCAUCUGCAGGCGUUCCUUUGUUCUCUCAGGGAGGGGUACAUGGCCUGGAUCACAGACGCUCUGACUCCAUCCUGGAUCUCAGGUCACCUGUCGUUCAGGCAGCUGGGGGCAGCGCGGGCGGUUCUGGGGCACAUGGGGACGUGGGACCUGGUGCAGUUGAGCAGUGGCACUCAGCUGAAGGGGGAUUAUCAGGGCUGCCAGCACCUCGCCCUCAACCGUCAGGACACGGACCUGCUGGAGUUCAGCCGGACCACAAUCCUGCCUACUGACACACUGUGGGCUCUGCUGGGACACACACCACAGGUUAGAGCUCACACACACAAACUCCGCCCCCUCGCCUGUGUCCAAAAACUUUCCUCACCCCUUCUGCACUGUAU